UAAUCUAGGCCCUCCAUUUGUAAUACUUUUUUAUCUUAUGGUUGUUAGUUAAGCUAAUUGUUUAAUGUUACAUUUUGUUAUAUUUAUUUUAAAAGGUAAGAGUUUUUUUAAGUGCAACCAGUUAGAGCUGGUUACUUUUUUGCAAUGUGGCAAAUCUGAAAAGAUGGUUGGGUCAGUUAUGAUCAGAGUGCUUAGAGAGAACAACCGUCACUCUCUCACUCUACAGUUUCUUCUUCUUUCUUUAUUAGAAAAAACCCAAAAAAAAAAAUUCGAAUCUAAUUUCUUUGUCGCAGAAGGGGUUGGUCGUGAUCAAGCUUAGGAAAGAGUUUAACUUUGGCAACCUAUCGUGCUUCUCGUUCUUUCCCGUGGGUUAAGGUUAUUUUCUUCUCUGAUUUGGGUCAUCUCAUUUGGUUCAUCUCGUUCUUUCCCGUGGGUUAAGGUUCUUAUCCUAACUAGUAUUUGUCCUAAGAUGAGUGAUUUAUAAAUGUAGUGAAGCAAUAUGAUGAUAAUUAUAAGUUAUUGGCCGUUUUUAUUUAAUAUGCACAAAAUUGGCUGAAUGUCUUCGAAGAAGAGAAACCCAUCAUCAAAUGACAAAAACAAGGACAUUUCCAGCAAGCGUGCAAAAAACAACAAAAAAGGAAAGGAGAAAGUUACAAAUGAAGUAAGUUGGAUAUACAUUUCAAUUUCGAUUGUUUUUUAUCUAAAUGUAUGUGCACUUGGAGGUGUUCAUUGUCUUUUUAAUAUAUUUUGUCCCAUGAUGGAGAAGGGCUUGACAAGAAUACUUUAGGUUUUCUUACUUCUCAUCAACUAUGAUAGCAAAAGACAAAAAUCAGCGUGAUCAAACUCAACAAUCUGAGGCUAAGGCCGAUGUGAAAAAAACAUGGUACAACUCAGUGUCGGUGCUCCGGUGAUAAGAUCGUAACUGUUGUCAACCAUGGAAGACGAAUACAUAGCGGCUUGUGAAGCAACUAAGGAGGCAGUUUGAUUGAGAAAGUUCUACACUGAUUUGGAAGUAGUUCUAGAUAUGGAUAAGCCACUAAUCCUAUACUGUAACAACAGUUGAGCAGUAGCUAACUCCAAGGAACCAAGAAGCCACAAGAGAGGAGAACAUAUAGAGAGAAAAUACCACCUGGUUAGAGAUUGUACAUCGAGGUGAUGUGACUAUUAUGAAGAUAGUGUUGAAACAAAACCUUGCUGAUCCGUUUACCAAGACACUUCUUGCAAAGUCGUUUUUGGGUCAUGUAUGUAACAUGGGAUUAAGAAAAAUGUCUCAGUUGCUUUGAGGGCAAGUGUGACAUUGUUAGGAUUAAUGCCCUAAAAACAUGUAAAGGCAUUUUAUUGAAUUAAAUAAAAAGAACAAUUUUAUUAUA
Long non-coding RNA from Humulus lupulus (European hop), 1370 nucleotides. RefSeq lists it as uncharacterized. The transcript has 2 exons. NCBI's taxonomy places the organism in Eukaryota, Viridiplantae, Streptophyta, Magnoliopsida, Rosales, Cannabaceae. The record is from RefSeq and is a predicted model, not a curated record.